This is a long non-coding RNA of Dermacentor andersoni, 388 nucleotides long. RefSeq lists it as uncharacterized. NCBI's taxonomy places the organism in Eukaryota, Metazoa, Arthropoda, Arachnida, Ixodida, Ixodidae. The record is from RefSeq and is a predicted model, not a curated record.
GUGGGAAGCUCGAUCAGCAAGCCAAAAAUGAAAACGGGAACGACGAUGAAGUGGAUUCCUACUGGAGGGAACCCCUGGGUUGGCUUUUUGAGCAGAUCGGCAAGUGGUUGCAGGUCAAGCAUCCGAUGCAUAUGUACUCUGCCGAAGACAACCUUACGGAUCGUGAAGACACUCCUGCACCCCAUGGAAACGUGGUGCAGAGUCAGAACGCCGAAAACUAAAUAUAUACAUACGCCUUGUUCGUUAGUUAAAAAGAUGUUUUUGUCUCAAUUGUAAGUAAAAACUUUCGUAAAAAUUUCGAUAACGAAGCCGGUUACUUCGCCUUGUGACGUGCCUGACGUGCCUUCUCUUUCAAGAUGCUCAACAAUAAAAUUAGGCUCCCAGAAAC